This is an RNA transcript of Egretta garzetta (little egret), 4575 nucleotides long. It is a transcript of the gene named mannosidase alpha class 1A member 2, with no coding region annotated. Lineage: Eukaryota; Metazoa; Chordata; Aves; Pelecaniformes; Ardeidae. The record is from RefSeq and is a predicted model, not a curated record. The transcript has 14 exons.
GGGAUGAGCCGUGCCCGGCGGGGUGGUCGCUAGCAGAAGGAUGACCACUCCCGCCCUGCUGCCGCUCUCCGGGCGGAGGCUGCCCCCCCUGAACCUGGGCGCCUCCGCCUUCCCGCACCACAGGGCUACCUUGAGACUCUCCGAAAAAUUUAUCCUGCUCCUUAUUCUUAGUGCCUUCAUCACCCUGUGCUUCGGGGCGUUCUUCUUCCUCCCCGACUCCUCGAAGCACAAGCGCUUUGACCUGGGCUUGGAGGAUGUGCUCAUUCCUCACGUCGACACCAGCAAAGGGGGCAAGAACCUGGGCGGCUUCCUCAUCCACGGGCAAGGGCACGACGAGCACCGGCACAGAGAAGAAGAGGAACGUCUGAGAAAUAAGAUCCGAGCAGAUCAUGAAAAGGCUCUGGAAGAGGCUAAGGAGAAAUUGAAGAAAUCGCGUGAUGAAAUUCAAGCUGAGAUUCAGACAGAAAAGAACAAAGUAGUGCAAGAGUUGAAAAAGAAAGACAGCAAGCCACUGCCCCCUGUUCCUUUACCAAAUCUUAUAGGGAUAAACAGUGGAGAACCAGCAGACCCGGAUAUCCGAGAGAAGAGGAACAAAAUUAAAGAGAUGAUGAAGCAUGCCUGGGACAAUUAUAGGCAAUAUGGAUGGGGACAUAAUGAGCUCAAACCAAUUGCCCGGAAAGGACAUUCCACCAACAUAUUUGGAAACUCACAAAUGGGUGCUACCAUAGUAGAUGCAUUGGAUACUCUUUACAUCAUGGGGCUUCAUGAUGAAUUCAGAGAAGGACAAGAGUGGAUUGACAAAAAUCUUGAUUUCAGUGUGAAUUCCGAAGUGUCUGUUUUUGAGGUCAAUAUUCGCUUCAUUGGUGGUCUUCUAGCAGCAUACUACCUUUCAGGACAAGAGGUUUUCAAGAUCAAGGCAGUCCAACUGGCAGGAAAACUUCUUCCAGCCUUCAACACACCUACGGGUAUACCAUGGGCAAUGGUGAAUCUGAAAAGUGGUGUGGGUCGAAACUGGGGCUGGGCUUCUGCUGGCAGCAGCAUCCUUGCUGAGUUUGGUACUCUGCACAUGGAAUUUGUCCACCUCAGCUAUUUGACAGGGGACCCUGUAUACUACAACAAGGUCAUGCACAUUCGGAAGUUACUCCAAAAAAUGGAUCGUCCUAAUGGACUUUACCCAAAUUAUUUGAAUCCAAGAACAGGCCGGUGGGGUCAGCAUCACACAUCCGUGGGCGGGCUGGGAGACAGUUUUUAUGAAUAUUUAUUGAAAGCCUGGCUUAUGUCAGACAAGAUGGACACGGAGGCAAGGAAAAUGUACGACGAUGCAAUUGAGGCCAUAGAAAAACAUCUCAUCAGAAAGUCCAAUGGAGGACUGACCUUCAUUGGGGAGUGGAAGAACGGGCACCUUGAAAGAAAGAUGGGCCAUUUGACCUGUUUUGCAGGGGGAAUGUUUGCCCUUGGAGCAGAUGGUUCCAGAGAUGAUAAAGCUGGACAUUAUUUGCAGCUUGGAGCUGAAAUUGCACAUACGUGUCAUGAGUCAUAUGACAGGACAACAUUAAAGCUGGGUCCAGAAGCAUUCAAAUUUGAUGGUGGUGUAGAGGCAGUGGCAGUGCGGCAGAAUGAGAAGUAUUACAUCCUAAGACCAGAGGUGAUUGAGACCUACUGGUAUAUGUGGAGAUUCACCCACGAUCCCAAGUACAGGCAGUGGGGCUGGGAGGCAACACAGGCAAUUGACAAGUAUUGCCGAGUCAGUGGUGGCUUUUCUGGUGUCAAGGAUGUCUAUUCCUCAUCUCCUACAUAUGACGACGUACAGCAGAGCUUUUUCCUUGCUGAAACUUUGAAGUAUUUGUAUCUGCUCUUCUCCAAUGAUGACCUGCUACCAUUAGACAACUGGGUUUUUAACACAGAAGCUCAUCCUCUGCCUGUUUUACAUUUAGCCAACACCACGCUGUCAGGAAAUCCUGCAUAUCGAUAAAAACAGCUCUGUGAAGAGAAAUAGAGACUGUUUUCAGCUCUGUUUUGUUUACAUGGACCACUUGAGACUUUUAGCAGGAGAGGAGACAGACACUUGAUAAAACUAGACCUCUGAGUCAAGCAAGUACCGGCGUGAGAAUCAAAGCUCUUCAACAUAUAGAUAAGUUAAAAGUUCUGUUUUAUACAUGACCAAAACACGUUAGUGUGGUAUUUGCAGGACAGAGACUUCAUGUGCUUUGAACCCUAGCAAGACAUGGAAUCUACUGUUUAAUGUAAAUGCAGCAGUAUAAGGAAGAAGAGGCUUUCCCGUCCAGGGAGAGGAACUUGCUGCUGCUGUUGGCUGUUGCAAGGAACAACACACCAGUCACCUCUUCAGAUCGGGUGUGUGUAUGACAGAAGCCCAAAGAUGCCUUUGAUUUAGGUUACAAAAUUCCUUUUCUUCUCGGUGCUCCAGUACAAAGCCAACAUGAUCUUCUUUGGGAACAACAUAACUUCUCUUACAUGUGAGUGGAAAAAGAAACUGAAGAGUCUCUUCUUCCAUUAGUUUAUGAGAAAUGAGAUGCUGUUACCUGCAUGGUGGUGGUGGUGGUGGUGGGGUUCCCAAGUACUCCUAGGCUGGGCUGGACAUUAUCACUUAAAUGGAGUCUGCUUCAGUCUUCACUUAUUUGCUAAAAGAAGUUUUGUCUUUUCAAGUAUAUCUCAAUCUCUUUUUUUUUUUUUUUCUUACCAUUGUUCCAGAAUCCUUACAGCUCAAAUUAUUCUUUUUUUUUUCCCCUUUAUAGCUCCCAAAUCCUUUUGCCACGGUGACUGGCCCCUUUGCUGAAAAAGACCUGUGAGGUGCUCCUUUCUCUCCUAAUUAGUGCACAGUUGAGUCUUUAAAAAAGAAAUCUUGAUUGUGUUUUCAGACUAAAAUGAGUGGAAGAACUCUACAGUGAGGUAGAGCAGUACAGCAUCAGAUAUAAAGGCAGUGAGCGCUAUUUCUCCCUGUAAAAAAAAAAAGUUUAUAUAUGAAGAUAAAGCUUUUCUCUCCAUCACAUUAUAUCUGACUGUACGUUAUAGUAGAAUUUCCCACAUAAAACUUUUCUUCACUUGUCUUUGACACUAACUUAGACACAGCAUUUUUUCUUAGAUCAUGUGAUGAUUUCUAUCAGAUGCUUUUUUCCAGACAGUUACUUUAAUUUAAGAGGAGGAAGACAUAGAGCUUGGAAAAAAGCUCCAGUCUCAAUGUUUUUACCUUAGUACCAGUUACUUAGUUACUGUAAUUUGCAGCAGUAGCUUAAAAAUAAUUUGAGAACUGACAAAGUAAUUGAUAUAGUAAAUAAUACUGAUGCAAGUAAUUGUUUAUUUAAAAUUAGAAGUAGCUUAAUAAACUGAUUCUUCUUGCUGGUCUCACAUUAAAAUAUUUUUCUAAUUAGUAUUCAGUGACUUACUGAAGAGCUAGUAACUUUCUAUUUUCCAAAGUUCAGAUAUGUUGUGUUUUCAAAUGGAGUUUUUUUCCAUCCCAUGAGAACUGUUAGUAGUUUAAAACUGCACUCUAUUGCCUUGUUCUCCUGGGUACAAAGGAGAAAGAGGAAAAGCAGACUCUUCAGUUUAAUAAUAAAAAAAGGCACUUUCCACCCCAUUACACCCAUCCCCAUACACCUCCUGAUAAACGCAGAUGUAGAGUGGCUGCCAGUCUGUUCAGAGAAAGGCCAAGGACAGAAAUCUGGAGUCCCAGAAAGAGCAAACUUCUUAUCAUUGUUUGCUGCUCUUCCACCCCCCUCUAGUGAAUUAAAGAGCGACCCUUCAGAUUAAUUCCUCCAUGAAGCCCAAUGGGUUAACUCACUGCCACAAGAAUGCUUGAAUUGAGGACCUAAGCCAUUUCAUGUUAUGGGAUGGUAUUUUUCUCAAAGCAGAUAUACAGUACUGCUAUUUCUUCUUUGUGUAGACAAGCAGCAGGUACCAAAUAAAGGACACUUGUUUCUCGUUUUCCAGUUACCCCAACAGCUGUCAGUUUCUACUCUAUCACUCUUGAAAUACAAACUAUCCUUUUCCUCCAGAAGCUACUGAUGUAAAAAUAAUGCAUUUUGUGGACUAACUGCUGUGUCAUUCAUGAAUCUCUCCAUCCUGAGAUUUCCUAGAGCAAGCUGAGUUUGGAGGUAAUGGGUUCUGAGCGAGGUGGGUACAUAAUAACCAAGCACCAUGGAUAUUGAAACUUCUGACUGAAGUGGUGUGCCCUUGUACUGAGUCCUUCACAGAGAAGUAGGUUCUGAUCGGCAGAACGGCGUUAUGUGCAACCCAAAGUUCAGACUGUUUUCCCUCUGGGUCUAUAAGGUACAGUAGAAUAUUGCCAUUUUCAUUCUGUUGCUGCUGUCUUACAUACUUUCAUGAAGAUAGAGUGUAAAUUUAAGCACAAAAUGACUUUUUAGUCCUAGUUGUUUCGGAGUCUUGCACUGUAUUCUCUAACAAAAAAAUCCUCGUUUUCUUUAGGUAGCUGUCCCAUUUUAGCAAUUUCUACAAUACCCUCUCCUCUUACAGGAUGAAAUAAAGAACAGAAAAUCAUGUACAUUUUUGGCACACUGGAUUUGGGCAAGAGCCUGGAAAUCCCAGAACUGUCUAUUUCCU